UGUGGUGUUUGUCCCAAGGCAGACUGAUUCCAGUAAAUCGCCUGCAUUUUCUCUGAGACAUAUUUGGGAGAUGUAAGAUUUACAUGGCCAAGAAUAGAAUUUCAUCACCCAGAGAUGCUUGCUCUCAAAACAUUUGUGCAGGGCAGCCAAGGGGAGUUGAUGAAUACCAGUUUAUAGUUCAGGUAUCCAAAGCUUUCUGGAAAUGUAUGACCGUGAAUAUCUUAAUUUUCAACAUACUGAAGAACAGGAAGUGUGUGGAAUGGACCAUGGAUGGAUGA
This 278-nucleotide long non-coding RNA is filed under the name Struthio camelus australis. RNAcentral describes it as "lncRNA (ENSSCUG00000000632.1)". The record is from RNAcentral. Lineage: Eukaryota; Metazoa; Chordata; Aves; Struthioniformes; Struthionidae.